This is a non-coding RNA of Camelina sativa (false flax), 178 nucleotides long. Lineage: Eukaryota; Viridiplantae; Streptophyta; Magnoliopsida; Brassicales; Brassicaceae. The record is from RefSeq and is a predicted model, not a curated record.
AAAAGCUUAAAGUUUUCGAUAUGGCUCGCUCGUUCGGAGCAAACGGCACUGCUGUGCUGGCGAUCAUCUUCUUAGGAUGUUUAUUUGCGUUUUCAACUGCAAAAGAAGAGGCCACCAAGUUGGGAUCAGUUAUAGGGAUUGAUCUUGGUACCACUUACUCUUGUGUCGGUGUUUACAA